RNAcentral lists this transfer RNA (89 nucleotides) under Bacillota bacterium. RNAcentral describes it as "tRNA-Ser". It matches the Rfam family "tRNA". Rfam says of the family: Transfer RNA (tRNA) molecules are approximately 80 nucleotides in length. Their secondary structure includes four short double-helical elements and three loops (D, anti-codon, and T loops). RNAcentral also lists the same sequence under 1 other name. Lineage: Bacteria; Bacillati; Bacillota. The record is from RNAcentral.
GGAGAGGUGUCCGAGUGGUCGAAGGUCCAUGACUCGAAAUCAUGCGUACCCAAAAGGUACCGAGGGUUCGAAUCCCUCCCUCUCCGCCA